GACAUGCAAGUCGAACGGAAGCCGUGCGAGAGACGAUUGACGAUUAUCUGAUUGAGUCUCAUGCACAAUGACUUAGUGGCGGACUGGUGAGUAACACGUAAGCAACCUGCCUAUCAGAGGGGAAUAACAGUGAGAAAUCAUUGCUAAUACCGCAUAUGCUCACGGUAUCGCAUGAUACAGUGAGGAAAGGAGCAAUCCGCUGAUAGAUGGGCUUGCGCCUGAUUAGCUAGUUGGUGGGGUAACGGCCUACCAAGGCGACGAUCAGUAGCCGGACUGAGAGGUUGAACGGCCACAUUGGGACUGAGAUACGGCCCAGACUCCUACGGGAGGCAGCAGUCGGGAAUAUUGCGCAAUGGAGGAAACUCUGACGCCAGUGACGCCGCGUAUAGGAUGAAGGUUCUCGGAUUGUAAACUAUUGUCAUUAGGGAAGAUAAAAGACUGUACCUAAAGAGGAAGCCCCGGCUAACUAUGUGCCAGCAGCCGC
Molecule: ribosomal RNA, 484 nt
Filed under: uncultured bacterium
Lineage: Bacteria
Description: bacterial SSU rRNA
Rfam family: Bacterial small subunit ribosomal RNA
Source: RNAcentral